ACUGAGGUGGGCGACCACUUGGGAACACUGGGUGCUGUACGCUU
RNAcentral lists this ribosomal RNA (44 nucleotides) under Euglena gracilis. The record is from RNAcentral. Lineage: Eukaryota; Euglenozoa; Euglenophyceae; Euglenales; Euglenaceae.